This 796-nucleotide unclassified non-coding RNA is filed under the name uncultured Prochlorococcus sp. RNAcentral describes it as "partial 16S-23S ribosomal RNA intergenic spacer; may also contain 16S ribosomal RNA and 23S ribosomal RNA". The stretch from base 1 to 93 matches the Rfam family "Bacterial small subunit ribosomal RNA", at positions 1441 to 1533 of the family's 1533-position model. The record is from RNAcentral. Lineage: Bacteria; Bacillati; Cyanobacteriota; Cyanophyceae; Synechococcales; Prochlorococcaceae.
UUGUGGAGGAGGACGCCGAAGGUGGGGCUGAUGACUGGGGUGAAGUCGUAACAAGGUAGCCGUACCGGAAGGUGCGGCUGGAUCACCUCCUAACAGGGAGACAAAACUGAUCGUGAUGCGUAAGUAAAUCUUUCUUAGGUCAUGAUCCUGUCACCUUAGGUCGAUCGGUACCUCAGAUUAAGCAUAAAAAAAAGAGCUAACUAAAAAUUAGUCUCGCUAUUUUGUACUUGGUUUCAGUUCCUAAACUUGUCUAGGUCACACCCCGCAAGUGUUACUCCUGGGCCAUUAGCUCAGGUGGUUAGAGCGCACCCCUGAUAAGGGUGAGGUCCCUGGUUCAAGUCCAGGAUGGCCCAUUCGGUGUUGGGGGUUUAGCUCAGUUGGUAGAGCGCCUGCUUUGCAAGCAGGAUGUCAGCGGUUCGAGUCCGCUAACCUCCACUGAUCAACUACCUGAUAACUCAAUUGGGAGAUUGUAUUUGUUUAAAGUGAUUUAGAUGUUGUUCAACUGAAUGAACCUAGCUUCCUGUCAUUCCUUAUUUACUUAGGCUGAUAAGACGCUGGGCUCACUGAUAUUCUUAGGAUUAUCAGUUUGAUUCAGCAGAACCUUGACAACUGCAUAGGAAAGUCUGGAAAGAAUAAAGCAUCUCAUGGAUGCAUAAUUCUUUAUUAUUUUUUGAUAUUGAAUUGCGAUUUUUCGUGAUUUCUUUAUCUUAAAAAUAUAUUGAAUUCAUGUUUGAUUCUUGAGUAAGAAAAAUGCUCUAUAGAUUUAUUUUUAUAGAGAUGAAUGGUCAAGCUACAA